This is a non-coding RNA of Nomascus leucogenys (northern white-cheeked gibbon), 45 nucleotides long. Lineage: Eukaryota; Metazoa; Chordata; Mammalia; Primates; Hylobatidae. The record is from Rfam.
CCAAAGGCUCUUUUAAGAGCUAUCAUGUUCCCUGAAAGGCAGUGG